AAAAUCCGUCGACUUUAGAAAUCGUGAGGGUUCAAGUCCCUCUAUCCCCCCAAAAAGACCGAUUUGACUUCCUAACUAUUUCUCCUACCCUCUCUUUUUUUUUAGUGGUUCAAAAUCCGUUCUCUUUCUCAUUCAUUCUACCUUUUUACAAACGUAUCAGAGCAGAAUUUUUUUCUUUUAUCACAAUCACAAGUGGUGUGGUAUAUAUGAUAUACGUUCAAAUGAACAUCUUUGAACAAAGAAUCCCGAUUCACAAUUCAUAUCAUUGCUCAUACUGAAACUUAUAAAUUAUUUUAUUGAAGAAAUCAAAUUCCCCGCUCAAGACUUUUAAUACUUUUUUAUCUUUUUUAAUUGACAUAGACCCCAGUCAUCUAGUAAAAUGAGGGUGAUGCGCCGGUAAUGGUCGGGAUAGCUCAGCUGGUA
This 423-nucleotide transfer RNA is filed under the name Dipteronia sinensis. RNAcentral's name for it is "partial transfer RNA-Leu". Lineage: Eukaryota; Viridiplantae; Streptophyta; Magnoliopsida; Sapindales; Sapindaceae. The record is from RNAcentral.